This 335-nucleotide unclassified non-coding RNA is filed under the name soil metagenome. Its description in RNAcentral is "partial contains 5.8S ribosomal RNA, internal transcribed spacer 2, and large subunit ribosomal RNA". The stretch from base 1 to 120 matches the Rfam family "5.8S ribosomal RNA", at positions 35 to 154 of the family's 154-position model. The record is from RNAcentral.
GAUGAAGAACGGAGCGAAAUGCGAUAAGUAGUGUGAAUUGCAGAAUUCAGUGAAUCAUCGAAUCUUUGAACGCACAUUGCGCCCUUUGGUAUUCCUUAGGGCAUGCCUGUUCGAGCGUCAUUUAAACCUUCAAGCUCAGCUUGGUGAUGGGCGACUGUCCUCCCCUCGCGGGGGGACUCGCCUCAAAAACAUUGGCGGCCGGUACAUUGGCUUCGAGCGCAGCAGAAACGCGGUCUCGAGCCCGGUGGAUCGGCUCCCAUAAGCCUAUUCUUUUAUUUUGACCUCGGAUCAGGUAGGGAUACCCGCUGAACUUAAGCAUAUCAAUAAGCGGAGGA